RNAcentral lists this long non-coding RNA (537 nucleotides) under Cyanistes caeruleus (blue tit). RNAcentral's name for it is "lncRNA (ENSCCEG00000007031.1)". Lineage: Eukaryota; Metazoa; Chordata; Aves; Passeriformes; Paridae. The record is from RNAcentral.
CACUAACCUAAUCCCUUCUCUCCCUGCCUUGAGCUCUGAGCUCACAAACCCUGAGGCUUCUGUGACUCCAACAAAGAGGAUGCUCAGAUUUCUACCAGCUUGGACACAGCAGCCUCAUGGCAUGAGGGGGGGAUUUGCUGCUGUUCACAUUGCAGUGACAUGGAGGUCUUUAUGGUCUUACAUUUCUGCUUAUCUGAUCCACCCCUGCCCUCCACACUCCUGGCAUGGUGCUAAUACUGAAACGCUUUUCCUCCCUCUGUUUGUGCCCCCCUCAGAGGAGAUAAUAUCCAAACACAAAAAAACCCCAGGUAGUCCCCAGUUAAGCCUGGACAUUAUUCCAUUUGAUCUGCUAGUAACAAAGCAGGAAAGACCCUGGGGCCCAAGGACUACUGGAUAAUGCUACAUCUGUGCUAGAACACACCCUGUCACUGUUGGGACUUCACCAUGCUGAGUACUAUCCAGAGCUCACAGCCAGACGUGCUCCACCACAAACAGCCUGAGAGGGAAAAAUAAAGCCCUGCCUAUUUGCUUUUUGCA